Molecule: ribosomal RNA, 253 nt
Filed under: uncultured bacterium
Lineage: Bacteria
Description: partial 16S ribosomal RNA
Rfam family: Bacterial small subunit ribosomal RNA
Source: RNAcentral
UACGUAGGUGGCAAGCGUUGUCCGGAAUUAUUGGGCGUAAAGCGCGCGCAGGUGGUUUCUUAAGUCUGAUGUGAAAGCCCACGGCUCAACCGUGGAGGGUCAUUGGAAGCUGGGGAACUUGAGUGCAGAAGAGGAAAGUGGAAUUCCAAGUGUAGCGGUGAAAUGCGUAGAGAUUUGGAGGAACACCAGUGGCGAAGGCGACUUUCUGGUCUGUAACUGACACUGAGGCGCGAAAGCGUGGGGAGCGAACAGG